This 497-nucleotide ribosomal RNA is filed under the name uncultured bacterium. RNAcentral's name for it is "partial 16S ribosomal RNA". It matches the Rfam family "Bacterial small subunit ribosomal RNA", at positions 28 to 507 of the family's 1533-position model. The record is from RNAcentral.
GACGAACGCUGGCGGCGUGCCUAAUACAUGCAAGUAGAACGCUGAAGCGAGGAGCUUGCUCUUCUUGGAUGAGUUGCGAACGGGUGAGUAACGCGUAGGUAACCUGCCUUGUAGCGGGGGAUAACUAUUGGAAACGAUAGCUAAUACCGCAUAACAAUGGAUGACACAUGUCAUUUAUUUGAAAGGGGCAAUUGCUCCACUACAAGAUGGACCUGCGUUGUAUUAGCUAGUAGGUGAGGUAAUGGCUCACCUAGGCGACGAUACAUAGCCGACCUGAGAGGGUGGUCGGCCACACUGGGACUGAGACACGGCCCAGACUCCUACGGGAGGCAGCAGUAGGGAAUCUUCGGCAAUGGGGGCAACCCUGACCGAGCAACGCCGCGUGAGUGAAGAAGGUUUUCGGAUCGUAAAGCUCUGUUGUAAGUCAAGAACGGGUGUGAGAGUGGAAAGUUCACACUGUGACGGUAGCUUACCAGAAAGGGACGGCUAACUACGUG